GACGAACGCUGGCGGCGUGCUUAACACAUGCAAGUCGAACGGGCCUGUCUUCUUUUUUGGGGGGUGGGUUGAGUGGCGAACGGGUGAGUAUCACGUGAGUAACCUGCCCUUCGGUCCUGGAUAACCGCUUGAAAGGGCGGCUAAUACGGGGUGGUCCGGUUGGUCCGCAUGGGCUGGUCGGGAUAGAUUCACUGUUUUUGGUGUUUCGGCGGGGGAUGGGCUCGCGGCCUAUCAGCUUGUUGGUGGGGGGAUGGCCUACCAAGGCGGUGACGGGUAGCCGGCCUGAGAGGGUGGGCGGCCACACUGGGACUGAGAUACGGCCCAGACUCCUGCGGGAGGCAGCAGUGGGGGGUAUUGCACAAUGGGCGGAAGCCUGAUGCAGCGACGUCGCGUGAGGGAUGGAGGCCUUCGGGUUGUGAACCUCUGUUUCCGGUGGUGAAGGCCCUGUCCGUGUGGUGGGGUUGACGGUAGCCGGGGAUGAAGCGCCGGCUAACUACGUG
RNAcentral lists this ribosomal RNA (500 nucleotides) under uncultured bacterium. RNAcentral's name for it is "partial 16S ribosomal RNA". It matches the Rfam family "Bacterial small subunit ribosomal RNA", at positions 28 to 507 of the family's 1533-position model. The record is from RNAcentral.